RNAcentral lists this long non-coding RNA (479 nucleotides) under Ananas comosus (pineapple). Its description in RNAcentral is "long non-coding RNA (ACOM_LNC018705)". The record is from RNAcentral. Lineage: Eukaryota; Viridiplantae; Streptophyta; Magnoliopsida; Poales; Bromeliaceae.
GGGAUUAAAUUCUGCACAUAUAUAUACCUAUAUAUUAUUCUCUCUGAAUUUACAACAUGACAACGUUCCCUUCAUUGAUGGGUGCGGGCUCCAUCCUAAAACGGCUCAAAUUUUCAGUAUAUAUAUAUUUUUUUUUCUUUGUUUGAAUCGAACCGAUUUUUUUUUUUUACCUGAAUCGAAUCAAUCAUUAUUGAGUGUGGGCUCUAGCGAACCGGUUUAAGUUUUUCACAUAUUUUUUUCUUUCUUUACUUAAACCAAACUGAAUUUUUCUUUAUUUUGAUUGAACCGAGCUCGAUCACAUCUCUGCAUUAGGCUGAACUGUUCCUCUUCCACUUCCUUCGGCUCUUCUCUUCUUUUAUCGGCAAGAUGAAUUCUACUCCUUAUCGUCAAUUAAUUUUUUCAUCAUCGUUUUCUCUUUUUUUGUCGUUAUUUUCUAUUUUCUUUCUAAUUAUUUAUCCGUCGCAUUUGGUUACUGUACC